UGUGUAGGCGGUUUGGUUAAGUCUGGUGUGAAAUCUCCCGGCUCAACUGGGAGGGUGCGCCGGAAACUGCCGGACUCGAGUGCGGGAGAGGAGAGUGGAAUUCCUGGUGUAGCGGUGAAAUGCGUAGAUAUCAGGAGGAACACCGGCGGUGUAGACGGCUCUCUGGACCGUAACUGACGCUGAAACACGAAAGCGUGGGUAGCAAACAGGAUUAGAUACCCUGGUAGUCCACGCCCUAAACGAUGCAUAUUUGGUGUGGGUCAUUCAGUUGAUCCGUGCCGGAGCUAACGCGUUAAAUAUGCCGCCUGGGGAGUACAGUCGCAAGGCUGAA
This 331-nucleotide ribosomal RNA is filed under the name uncultured bacterium. RNAcentral's name for it is "bacterial SSU rRNA". It matches the Rfam family "Bacterial small subunit ribosomal RNA", at positions 568 to 898 of the family's 1533-position model. The record is from RNAcentral.